Molecule: ribosomal RNA, 253 nt
Filed under: uncultured bacterium
Lineage: Bacteria
Description: partial 16S ribosomal RNA
Rfam family: Bacterial small subunit ribosomal RNA
Source: RNAcentral
GACGUAGGGCGCGAGCGUUGUCCGGAUUUAUUGGGCGUAAAGAGCUCGUAGGCGGCUUGUUGCGUCGACUGUGAAAACCCGCGGCUUAACUGCGGGCUUGCAGUUGAUACGGGCAGGCUAGAGUUCGGUAGGGGAGACUGGAAUUCCUGGUGUAGCGGUGAAAUGCGCAGAUAUCAGGAGGAACACCGGUGGCGAAGGCGGGUCUCUGGGCCGUAACUGACGCUGAGGAGCGAAAGCGUGGGGAGCGAACAGG